Macaca mulatta (Rhesus monkey) is the source of this 2877-nucleotide long non-coding RNA. Lineage: Eukaryota; Metazoa; Chordata; Mammalia; Primates; Cercopithecidae. The record is from Ensembl.
CCCAGGGCAAGGCUCAUCCAUUGCACUCUGGAUGAGCUGACCCUUGCAAUUUCCCCAAAUGUGGGACCUCAACUGCGUAAUUUGUGGUAAAGGGGGACUGUGUUUGUGCUUUCUCCUAGUAAUGAAGGAAAAGGAAAAAGAGACUGUCCUGGAGAGAUGAGGACUGAGAAACCCAACCCAGCCCCUGGCUCCAAGGAGUCCCGGCCCAGCCCUGGAGACAGCCCUUAUCAGCUGCCAUCCCAGCUUCCUGUUUUUCAGUGGGCUGGGGACUGGGGCUGAAGGAACAUCUGCUUCUGUUUAUUCUUCCCCUUUAUCUUAAUGGGUUCCCUGAGAUGGCUCCCUGGGACACCUCUCACCACUGCUCUGUGUACUCAGAUCCAAACCCUUCUUUCUUGCUUCUCUUUUACGGAAGUUUUGAAGAAUGAAUGGUUACACAACAGAUGGCCAGCCGGUCUACCUAGAAGGGCCUUACAAAGGACAGCGCCUCCGUGGGGAAGGCUCGCCCUGGAUCAGACGCUGGAUCGCAGAUUUACCGUGAAUGAAGCCCUUGGAGACUGAAUGAUGUUAAAAAUUCAAAAACAACUCAGGAAAUAUUUAUUUGAAGGCCUGCUGUUCUUCAAGUCCCUGGAAUACAGAUAUGAGAAGAGUCACUGCUGCCCAAGAGCUGACUGACUGUGGAGGAAGACCAUGCUAGCGGACGACUACAUUUUCUACCACCUAGCACCGGCUCCCCCUUCUCCUGGUAAUGGUAUCUGCAGACAACCUCCUCAGUCUGUGUGCUUUCCGUGGAACUGAAUCUACCCCUGGCUCAACAGCUCAGGUACAGCCUCUGGCCUGGCUGCAGCGAUUAGUUUAGAGAGGGACUUGUAACCUCAUCAAAGCCUGAUAUUGUUCAGGGUAACAUACUAGAUAUAUUUUGCUAGGAUUGCCAAUAAUCAUUUAUUUAAGCUCCUUAAAUGAGGUUUCCUGUCAUUUGCAACUGAAAAAGCUCUGUGUAGCAGGUUGAGUAGUGUUCACCCCCUGCCCACAAAAUACAUUCACAUCCACCCAGAACUUUAGAAUAUGAUUUUUUUAAUUUUUUUUGAGACAGUCUUACUCUAUCACCAGGCUAGAGUGCAGUGGCAUAAUCUCAGCUCACUGCAACCUCAGCCUCCCAAGUAGCGGGGACUACAGGUGUGUGCCACCACGCCCAGCUAAUUUUUAUAUUAUUAGUAGAGACAGGGUUUCACCAUGUUGGCCAGGAUAGUCUAUCUCUUGACCUUGUGAUCUGCCCACGUCGGCCUCCCAAAGUGCUGGGAUUACAGGUGUGAGCAACCGUGCCUGGCCUGGUCUUAUUUUUAAAAGUCUUUGCAGAUGUCAUUAGUUAAGGAUCUUGAGAUGCAAUCAUUAUGGAUGUAAAUUUAGGUGGACCCUAAAUCUAACAAUUGGUAUCCUUAUAUGAUGAGGAGAUAUCACAGAGAGAUGCAGAGACACAGGGAAUAUGACUGUGUGAAGAGGGAGGCAGAGGGUAGGGCCAUGCUGCCAUAAGGCGAGGAUGCCUGGGCCACCAGAGGCUAGGAAGGGGCAAGGAAGGCCCCCCCGCUUAGAGCCUUCAGGGGGAGCAUAGCUCUCCUGACACUUGAUUUCCAACUUCUAGCCUCCAGAACGGUGAGAGAGAAUUUUCCAUUGUUUUAAGCCAACCAGCCUGUGGCACCUGGGUAAUGGCAGCCCUAGGAAACAAGUGCACUCUAACAUGUGAAAUCACUCAACAGAUAUUUAUUGGUUCCUAAUAUGUGUCUGAAGAGGACUUAGUAUAAAAUCCAGAGAAGACGGAUAUGGAGGCUGUAGAGAGGUAUUUCAGCUGGGACAUUAUGAAGCCUAAAGAACUAUCUGUCCCACUGCCUUGUAUCCCAAUGGGUGCCUCUGGAAGGGCCUGGAGAAACCAUGGAAUUUAUGUUCUCUGGGCUCCCUUUUUGUAGGCUUAUUUUGUUUCAAGACAGGGACUUGCUCUGUCGCCCAGGCUGGAGUGCAGUGGCGCAAUCACGGCUCACUGCAGCCUCAAUCUGCCAGGCUUAAGCAAUCCUCCCAUCUCAGCCUCCCAAGUAGCUGGGACUAUAGGUACAUGCCACCACGCCCAGAUAAUUGUUGUAUUUUUGUAGAGAUAAGGUUUCACCAUGUUGCCCAGGCUGGUCUUGAACUCCUGGGCUCAAGUCAUCUGCCCACCUCGGCUUCUCGCAGGGCUGCGAUUUCAGGCGUGAACCCCCCGGCCCGGCCUCCCUAGGCUUUUUGCAGGUCAUUCUCCUAAUGUAUGGAUGUCUUUCCUCAGUAAGGACGUGAGCUCUGCUUGAUAUAAAUUGAAAAUAUUCGGCCGGGCGCGGUGGCUCACACCUGUAAUCCCAGCGCUACAGGCGAAUCAUGGCAGGUGAAUCAUGAGGUCAGGAGUUCAAGACCAGCCUGACCAAUAUGGUGAAACCCCGUCUCUACUAAAAAUAGAAAAAUUAGCUGGGCAUGGUGGUGCAUGCCUGUAACCCCAGCUACAUGGGAGGCUGAGGAAGGAGAAUCGCUUGGACCCAGGAGGCAGAGGUUGCAGUGAGCCCAGAUCACGCACUGCACUCCAGCCUGGGCAACAGAGUGAGACUCUAUCUCAAAAAAAAAAAAAAAAAAAGAAAGAAAGAAAAAGAAAAUAUUCCUCCCAGUUUGUUCUUUGUUUAUAGUGAUUUUUGCCUUGCAGAAUUUCUUUUUUUUUCUUUUUUUUUUUUUGAGAGGAGUCUUGCUCUUGUUGCCCAGGCUGGAGUGCUGCAAUGGUGUGAUCUCAGCUUACUGCAACCCCUGUCUCCCGAGUUCAACCCAAUUUUCCUGUCUCAGCCUGUCGAUUCAGGCAAUGUGCCAGCACAGCUA